UGGGGAAUAUUGCACAAUGGGCGGAAGCCUGAUGCAGCGACGCCGCGUGGGGGAUGAAGGCCUUCGGGUUGUAAACCUCUUUCGCUAGGGAAGAAGGGUGACUGACGGUACCUAGAGAAGAAGCACCGGCUAACUACGUGCCAGCAGCCGCGGUAAUACGUAGGGUGCGAGCGUUGUCCGGAAUUAUUGGGCGUAAAGAGCUUGUAGGCGGUUUGUCGCGUCUGCGGUGAAAACCUGGGGCUUAACCCUGGGCGUGCCGUGGGUACGGGCAGGCUAGAGUGUGGUAGGGGAGACUGGAAUUCCUGGUGUAGCGGUGAAAUGCGCAGAUAUCAGGAGGAACACCGAUGGCGAAGGCAGGUCUCUGGGCCAUAACUGACGCUGAGAAGCGAAAGCAUGGGGAGCGAACA
This 407-nucleotide ribosomal RNA is filed under the name uncultured Actinomycetales bacterium. Its description in RNAcentral is "bacterial SSU rRNA". It matches the Rfam family "Bacterial small subunit ribosomal RNA", at positions 355 to 774 of the family's 1533-position model. The record is from RNAcentral. Lineage: Bacteria; Bacillati; Actinomycetota; Actinomycetes; Actinomycetales.